CAGAUUAUAGCAUAUGCUAAUGCAUUCUAUUUACACUAGAAAGAAAGGUUAAUCUGA
This 57-nucleotide transfer RNA is filed under the name Hirudo nipponia. RNAcentral's name for it is "tRNA-Val". Lineage: Eukaryota; Metazoa; Annelida; Clitellata; Hirudinida; Hirudinidae. The record is from RNAcentral.